This 521-nucleotide ribosomal RNA is filed under the name uncultured bacterium. RNAcentral's name for it is "partial 16S ribosomal RNA". The record is from RNAcentral.
AGCGACUGUGCAGGUUACCGCGGCUGCUGGCACGGAGUUAGCCGGUGCUUCUUCUGCGAGUAACGUCACAGAUGUAAGGUAUUAACUUACACCCUUUCCUCCUCGCUGAAAGUGCUUUACAACCCGAAGGCCUUCUUCACACACGCGGCAUGGCUGCAUCAGGGUUUCCCCCAUUGUGCAAUAUUCCCCACUGCUGCCUCCCGUAGGAGUCUGGGCCGUGUCUCAGUCCCAGUGUGGCUGAUCAUCCUCUCAGACCAGCUAGGGAUCGUCGCCUAGGUGAGCCUUUACCUCACCUACUAGCUAAUCCCACCUGGGCUUAUCCAUCAGCGCAAGGCCCGAAGGUCCCCUGCUUUCCCCCGUAGGGCGUAUGCGGUAUUAGCAGUCGUUUCCAACUGUUAUCCCCCACAAAUGGGCAAAUUCCCAGGCAUUACUCACCCGUCCGCGCUCGUCAUCUUCAAAAGCAAGCUUUUGAAAUGUUACCGCUCGACUUGCAUGUGUUAGGCCUGCCGCCAGCGUUCAAU